This 1044-nucleotide small RNA is filed under the name Rattus norvegicus (Norway rat). Its description in RNAcentral is "uncharacterized LOC102547111". Lineage: Eukaryota; Metazoa; Chordata; Mammalia; Rodentia; Muridae. The record is from RNAcentral.
AUCUAGGGAGGAAAACAUCGAGAUUUAGUUUCCGUGUGGAUGAGUCUUAUGGAACAACCUCGUGUAGGUGAAGAUGAAGCUAGACCCAGACUGGAGCAGAAAUUCAAGCUGAGAGUAUCUGGAACCAUAGAAGUAACCAUAGAGUAAGGAGCCAUACGUGGUCAAGGGCUGACACUUUACCCCACGGAAGCUGAAGCAGGUGGAGACAAAGCUGUAUCAUUCAAUCUUAGACCCUUUGUUAAGAAAUGCCUACUUCUUGAAUGGAACUAAAUAUUGCCUUUGACAAGAUCCUGGUUACCACAAGACUCUUCUAAUUAACCCAGAAUAAUCAUGCCAUCUCACAGCAUCUCACGGUCGUGUCGUGUCAUCUCACAGAAGGGACAGUGGGAAUGAAGAACAGCCUCUGUACCCCUUCAGGACCACCAUAACUCCCCUCGGAAGAAGUCACAGUAGAGAUCACUGCGGACUCCUGUUUUGGGGCUGUCAGCGAGCCAGGGUGGGGCGAUCCUUCAGCAGCAUGGAUGUGCUGCUCUCAUUGAGAAUGUAUCUAGUGGGUGGCCAACAUACAGUUCAUCCAUUCCCGUCCAGAGGAUAAGCACUUUGCAAGCUUGCUUGGAGAGGUCUGACAGUCAAGCUGGUAGAAAAGGGUGUCUCAGUUCAUCCGGGUCACCCAAGAGUGGAACAAUUGUGAGUCGCAUGCUUCUGGGGAAAAAAAAAAAACACUUCCCUUACACAUUAUCAAAGUAGCCCAUCUUCAUGUUAUGUAAUAAAAAUUUUAGGGGAGUCUGUAAGCAUUCAUUUUUCCAUUGUAACUUUAGGAUUUUUUUUUUACUAGCAAUGGGCUCAUUUUCAAUAAACGGUGAAAUAAAUACUCUCUAAAUUGGGGUGAAAACAGCACAUAACUGGAUUCCUUCCUACUACUUGCGACUGGGUUCAUUUCCCACUUCAGUACAGUGUAUGCAUAAACAAUGAUAUAAGGGCAGUAUCUUGUAUUUUGGGACUGGAAUGUUUUGAUGAUAGCAGUCCACUGAGCCCCGGAGUGGA